Dermacentor andersoni is the source of this 540-nucleotide long non-coding RNA. RefSeq lists it as uncharacterized. The record is from RefSeq and is a predicted model, not a curated record. Lineage: Eukaryota; Metazoa; Arthropoda; Arachnida; Ixodida; Ixodidae.
GCUCUCCGAGCGUGUGUGUUUGAGCGGUCUGAGUGCGUCGGUCUUGGAUUGCAACAGCAACAUGCCGCGUUCUAACGUGAAUUGCUGCGUUGUGAAUUGCCACAGCACCUACGCGAACUCGCCUGGAACAAGUUUUUUUAGGUUCCCCAGCAAGCCGUACGAAGCGAAGAGACGGGAACGCUGGAUUGCUCUUGUCCGACGACAAAACAAGGACGGCGCAGGCUGGUGACCUACUCCAUACACAAGGAUCUGCAGCAAACACUUUGUGGGCGGUGUAAAGGUGAAUGAAGAGGGGCAUCCAGCCUACUACCCCUCCAUAUUUCCUGCUACAUACAGGGCAGCACCUGGCCCACUCUCUGAAGACCGCUAUGUCAGGAAAAGAAGAAGGCAAGAGCAAAGGAUGCUGCUGGACAAGCAGACUGCUGAGGUGCAUGGACAAGCAGCUGAAGCGGUAAUGAAGUUAAUUUAUGUGGGCGAUGAAGCCCGCUUUUUUCCAGGCCCUGUUUUCAUCGUCCACGGUUUUUGUGCAGCGAAAACUAA